Molecule: ribosomal RNA, 245 nt
Filed under: uncultured Bacteroidales bacterium
Lineage: Bacteria; Pseudomonadati; Bacteroidota; Bacteroidia; Bacteroidales
Description: partial 16S ribosomal RNA
Rfam family: Bacterial small subunit ribosomal RNA
Source: RNAcentral
UACGGAGGAUGCAAGCGUUAUCCGGAUUUAUUGGGUUUAAAGGGUGCGUAGGCGGAGCUUUAAGCGUGAGGUGAAAUGCCACGGCUCAACCGUGGAACUGCCUCGCGAACUGGAGUUCUUGAAUGCCCCUGCCGUGGGAGGAAUGUGUGGUGUAGCGGUGAAAUGCAUAGAGAUCACACAGAACACCGAUUGCGAAGGCAUCUCACGAAGGGGUGAUUGACGCUGAGGCACGAAAGCGUGGGGAU